CAGGUAGGCGGUUUGGUAAGUCUGUUGUGAAAGCUCCCGGCUCAACUGGGAGAGGCCAACGGAAACUACCAGGCUAGAGUGUGGUAGAGGUAGCUGGAAUUCCCGGUGUAGCGGUGAAAUGCGUAGAUAUCGGGAGGAAUACCUAUGGCGAAAGCAGGCUACUGGACCAUCACUGACGCUGAUCUGCGAAAGCUAGGGGAGCAAACAGGAUUAGAUACCCUGGUAGUCCUAGCCCUAAACGAUGCUCAUUAGGUGUGGAAGGUAUCGACCCCUCCCGCGCCGAAGCUAACGCAUUAAAUGAGCCGCCUGGGGAGUACGGCCGCAAGGUUGAA
This 332-nucleotide ribosomal RNA is filed under the name uncultured bacterium. RNAcentral describes it as "bacterial SSU rRNA". It matches the Rfam family "Bacterial small subunit ribosomal RNA", at positions 568 to 898 of the family's 1533-position model. The record is from RNAcentral.